GGAAGUAAAAAGUCGUAACAAGGUUUCCGUAGGUGAACCUGCGGAAGGAUCAUUACCGAGUUCUCGGGCUUCGGCUCGACUCUCCCACCCUUUGUGAACGUACCUCUGUUGCUUUGGCGGCUCCGGCCGCCAAAGGACCUUCAAACUCCAGUCAGUAAACGCAGACGUCUGAUAAACAAGUUAAUAAACUAAAACUUUCAACAACGGAUCUCUUGGUUCUGGCAUCGAUGAAGAACGCAGCGAAAUGCGAUAAGUAAUGUGAAUUGCAGAAUUCAGUGAAUCAUCGAAUCUUUGAACGCACAUUGCGCCCCUUGGUAUUCCGGGGGGCAUGCCUGUUCGAGCGUCAUUACAACCCUCAAGCUCUGCUUGGAAUUGGGCACCGUCCUCACUGCGGACGCGCCUCAAAGACCUCGGCGGUGGCUGUUCAGCCCUCAAGCGUAGUAGAAUACACCUCGCUUUGGAGCGGUUGGCGUCGCCCGCCGGACGAACCUUCUGAACUUUUCUCAAGGUUGACCUCGGAUCAGGUAGGGAUACCCGCUGAACUUAAGCAUAUCAAUAAGCGGAGGA
Molecule: ribosomal RNA, 567 nt
Filed under: Lasiodiplodia theobromae
Lineage: Eukaryota; Fungi; Ascomycota; Dothideomycetes; Botryosphaeriales; Botryosphaeriaceae
Description: eukaryotic LSU rRNA
Rfam family: 5.8S ribosomal RNA (bases 193-346)
Source: RNAcentral